This 4867-nucleotide long non-coding RNA is filed under the name Gadus morhua (Atlantic cod). RNAcentral's name for it is "lncRNA (ENSGMOG00000026698.1)". Lineage: Eukaryota; Metazoa; Chordata; Actinopteri; Gadiformes; Gadidae. The record is from RNAcentral.
UGGGUCUUCAUACUGUAUGCAGAAUUCACCCUCAAGUGCAAGUUUCUCCUGUAGUCAGAGGCGGCGCCAGGGUAGGGCUUGGUUGGGCUAUAGCCCAAUCAAGAAUUGUGUUAGCCCUACCGUUAGCCCUACCAUAAAACAACCAAGAAAAGUGUGGAGUCCAACAGCGCCCCCACGUCGUAACGGCAUUCAGGCAGCUGCAAUGACAACUGUCACUGAUCUGGGUUCAUUAAGAGUCGGCCUCCAGCAUCCGCCGUUAUUAUUAAUCAACAUGGACUGUGCUGUCUUGAGAUCAGUGGGGAACCUGUCAGUCACUCCUGUGAGCGCGCUUUUAGUGUAUGCUCGACACAGAGACAGUUUGGUUGAAAUUUGAAUUAUCUUUGUUAGAAGCUACCUGGCUGUAAUAGUUAGCGUUAGUGGCUAACAGUCACGUUAUUAAGUUAACGUUAGUAAGCUGGUCAAAAUUUAUCAUGGAUAAAUUUGUUUUUAAACGUUGUCGGACGGAAGAACAGAUGGCGGUGGCAGGCAUUUUGGAUAAAACUACGGACACACCGUUGACACCUGCGGGGGAAGACGACCACUCAGGUCCCGCGUCUCCCAUGUGCCAGGCUCGGCCGGACAAAGAUGAGCAAGAAGAAGAGGAGAUGGAGCAGCAGGAGGAAGAGGACGAGGAAAGGGGCUGGCAUGGUCAGCCACAGCCAACCACUGCCGGCAUGGACACUGGCCAUGAUUCUAAUGCUACCACUGACAUUAGCAAACGACCUGGAGAUGGACCGCAGCGCCCCAUCAGGAAAAAUUACCCUUCAAGGCUAAUAGUUUCUCCUGCCUCCGUCGGAUUAAGAACUAUCUACGGAACAGCAGCGGUGAUACCCGAAACAGCAACUUGGCGCUGCUGUCCAUCAACAAACAAAGGACAAAGACUUUGGAUGUUCAGCGCAUCAUCGACAUCUUUGCCUCCAAUCACAAAAACCGGCGGAUUGUACUCAUUUGAAAAUCUCAACCUAGUGAGUUUCAAUAUUGUUUUUGGAAACUUUAGUGACGUUUUGCGUGUUGUCCGCGUGAUGUUCCUUCCUUGCUGCUGUCUUGUUUCUUGAUUAGCAUAUUAAAUUAGUUGGAGUUGUGUUUUGACUCUUGGCUGUUGUGGUGUAGUAUUGUGUUUUGUUUAAUUGGGUGAUCUGUGUGUCAAAGUUUGGCUUAUUGAGACCAAUCUUAUAUUGGUCUCAUCGCCUUCUAUAUCUGCCAAAUUUUCAGUAUGAUCUACCGGCUGUGCUGUUAACGUAACUACAGUAUUAACGUAACUAGCGUCUCUCUCUCUCUCUCUCUCUGUGUGUGUGUGCGUGUGUGCGUGUGUCUAGCUGUGGGAGGGUGUUGUUUUAUUGAAUAUAUAUUAACAUUGAAAUUCUGGCAUUGAUUUGAGGCCCACGGCUGUAUGGGUUAGCCCCACCGUAGUUGAACCACAAAAAAUACUCUGGCGCCGCCACUGCCUGUAGUCCAUCAUGAAGUCCCUCUAAAGAUUCAGGAGCCCUGGUCAGCCGAAUCUUCCGUAUUAGUUUGGGGUUUAUGUGCACCAAUAGCAACAAAGCCUGUGAAAACAAAGAUAAGAAAACAUUAUUGCAUCAGCAUGUAAACUGCAUUGGUACAUGACGACGACAGAGUCAUUUUAAAACAGCAUUGCGAAUUCUGAAUUCAUAAUUAUUAUGAAUGGAUAUUGAGUAUGUGCAAUGAAUAAACCACACAUUUAAAACAUUGCAGUGUAAAGUAGGGGUGUGACGAGAUCUCGUGCCACGAGAUCUCGCAAGAAAAUCUGUCUCGCAAGAUUUCUGAGCUAUCCAAACUUCUAUUUGUGGCCUGUAGGGGCAGUAAUGCGCCUUUGAUACGUCUAGCCUGCCAGAACCUUACGAAGGAGAAGGAAAAGAAGAAGAGGAGGAGAAGGAGGGGAAGCAGGGGAAGCAGCCAUAAUGACAUCGGAAAAUACCCGUAUUACCGUCGAAGGUGCCCCCGCCACUUUUAAAUGAUUUGUUUGGCAGCAUUUUGGGUACCCGGCGGAAAUUAUGAAUGGCAGUAGAGUGACUGAUAAGACACUGACAAUACCAAGUUGUCAGUGACAUACUUGAUCAGACUCUGUUUGCACUAUUUGCACUCUGUAUUGAUGGAGUAGAACUUUGAUUUGGUUUUGCACAUAAUAUUGUUUGCACUUGAAAAAAAAGAGAAUUAUUUAAUUUAAUUCAUUUUACUUCAACUUUUAUAAAUUUUAGUUUUAGUUUCAAUUUCAUGAAUGUUAAGAGUUAUAAUAAAACAUUUCAAAAUGCAUGUGCAACUCGGUUAAAUAAAAGUCUGUUGGUCCAGUCAUAUAUUUUGUCAUUGUAGUUUUCUUAAAAUCUCGUCUCGUCUCGAUCUCGUGAACCGAAUAUCGUGUCUCGUCUUGUCUCGUGAGCUGAGUGUAUCGUCACACCCCUAGUGUAAAGUCACAAUACCAUUAUACUCAAUGCAGCAGACACACCUUUCGGGUCACCAUCAACUGUCCCUGGUAUGCAGCCAAUGGGUGGUAAUCAUUCAAAGCCUCUGACUCCAGAAUUUCUGUAUCCAUGAAACAACUAUCAAUGAGUUGGUAUGAUCUGUAAUGUUCCAGGAACCAAGACGAUAGCUUUGCAGUGACAAAAUACACUUUCUCAAAGUCCACCAAAAUGUUCAGUAUCUUGAAGAACUCUGGUAGGCCACUGCAUUGACCAGCAGACAGGAUCAUGCCUUUUACACUUUGUGUUCCGAACAAAUGAACAUCUUUGGCAAAUGACACACUAUCUUGACUUGGAUACUUCUUUUGAAUGACCGUCCUGAUUUUUUCAUCUAAAGAUGACAUUUUGACAUUGUCCAUGCUACCAAUGUGCAGUUUUGGUUUGAAUAGUCCUUGGCCAUCGAGGAAAUAUGCCAUCAUUUGUUGAUGUUUAGAAGAGAGAGUCAGUAGCACAUUCCUGAAACAGUGAGCUCACGCAUCACCUUUUUGAAAAAACUGUGCUUAGAUUCAAAUCUAAGUGUCCACUAAAGGUCCAAAGCAGUGUGUGAGAUGUACAUAAUGCUCGAUAAAGUCAUGUUUUGGGCGCAACUUAAAGUAAGGAAAGGUGUCAAUGAGCAACUGCCGAUAUUUUACUCUCCAGGUAACGCAAUAUUUCCUCUGAUAACGUGGUAGACACAACAAUUUCGACUUUCUCUUUGAGGUCCAUCAGAAUUUCCCAUGAUGGUUCCCGUUCUGGUAUAUCAUGAAAGGUAGCAAAUGUAAAAGUACCCAACUUUCGUGUCCACACUGAUUCUCCCAGUUCCAAUGCUAGCCUUUGUAAUUUGCUGCGGCUUGUUGACCUUAUCAGAAAAUUUGUAUGGGAACAGCUUUAUACGUCUAUUCAGUCCAUCAAAUGUAAGGAAUCUUUUUCUAAUCAAUUCUUUCAAACAUAAACAUAACUCCACAGUGAUAACACCUUCAAAAAAGUCGUGCAAAAUAUCUGGGGGGAACCCAGUGACUGGAUCGAAGUAUGACAAGUUACUCAAUACACAGGCUGAUUUAACACCAUUCACACUUUGUUUGUCACUAGACUUGAGCUCUUCAACAAAUGUGUCAUGCUGCCUCACAGUUCUUAAUGGAAAAUCUCUUGGAUCAACAUUCACAAUUUGAUCUUGGCUAAUACAACAAAAUCUGCAGAAUUUUUCUACAUUGAAAGAUUCAUGAAAACCUGCUAAGCUACGAGCACCAAGAUUAUCAGCACAUACACAGAAUAUUGUUCCUUUUACAAACUUAUCUAAAACCUCUACAACAACCCCAUCUCUUUCAAGAGAUUCAACGUCCUUCAUCAAUGGAUAAAGAAAUGAUUCAUACCCAAACUGUUUAACGUCAUUACUCUUUCCAAGAAAAGCCAUCUGAAUUAAGGGGAGCGUAGAAUGAAACUUGCCCGGUAAAUUGAGCAAAACGCAACAGACAGCAUUGAUCUUAUGGAUUUUUUUUAGAUGUCCCCAAAGGAUUACAUAUUUCUAAGUAGUGUAGAAUAUUGGUGUAUUUUAGUGUCUCUCUGUGUUCACAUUUCUAGUCUAGGAACAGGCCAGUGCCUCAAACACUGAUACAAGGUGUUAUUUCCAACAUUCUGCCAUUUGUAAUGAUCAACAAGGAUGAACCAACCUGAUUGUCUGGGACAUAGCCAGGGCCAUAUACCUUAUCAAGGGUGAGAGUGCUUCUGUUCUCUUGUUCGUCAUGUUUUCUUUAAUAUAAUACUCGCCCCAACCCUUUGGUUUGGGGAGAAGAGGGUUCGACAGUCAAGGAACACGUCUCAAAACUGCUCCUCCACUGCUUCCACUAUAGAUUAUUCAACCUAAAUCUGUAUCUCGCUGUAUUACAUCCUGGAAUAAACCAUCUAUUCAACCCUCUGAUCCAACCUGUCAAGUUGCUUUGAUUUCGACUUACUACUACGACGGAAAUUACACAACGCAGAGUCUAUACGAACAGUUUAGAAAUAAGCUGAAAUCUAACAUUUGGUGCCGUGACACCGUCUCGAAGAGAGAGGAGUGAGAAGACGAUAGCCUCUGAAGAUUGCCCUGUGAUCGAGAAGACCGCGCGCCCUGCCUGGGAAGACGUCUGAUCAACGCCUGCCCUGCUGAGGGACCCGCAUCUUCCACCACGCGGCUGAACCAGCGCAUCUCCAUGCGCCACGUGGAAUCAACGGUGACUGAAUCUCAUUCCACACUCUCGACCAAGAGAAAAGAACAAGAAAGUAAUCUUGAAAUAAUCUACACACAUAACCGAUAUUAUUAUUUGUUUUACUAUUAGGCUGCACUACAUUUCAUGAGUAAUGAAGUUGUAUCAUUAAGAGCUUGACGAAGUGAGAACCUG